UUAAAUUGAAGAGUUUGAUCAUGGCUCAGAUUGAACGCUGGCGGCAGGCCUAACACAUGCAAGUCGAACGGUAACAGGAAGCAGCUUGCUGCUUUGCUGACGAGUGGCGGACGGGUGAGUAAUGUCUGGGAAACUGCCUGAUGGAGGGGGAUAACUACUGGAAACGGUGGCUAAUACCGCAUAACGUCGCAAGACCAAAGAGGGGGACCUUCGGGCCUCUUGCCAUCAGAUGUGCCCAGAUGGGAUUAGCUUGUUGGUGAGGUAACGGCUCACCAAGGCGACGAUCCCUAGCUGGUCUGAGAGGAUGACCAGCCACACUGGAACUGAGACACGGUCCAGACUCCUACGGGAGGCAGCAGUGGGGAAUAUUGCACAAUGGGCGCAAGCCUGAUGCAGCCAUGCCGCGUGUAUGAAGAAGGCCUUCGGGUUGUAAAGUACUUUCAGCGGGGAGGAAGGUGUUGUGGUUAAUAACCGCAGCAAUUGACGUUACCCGCAGAAGAAGCACCGGCUAACUCCGUGCCAGCAGCCGCGGUAAUACGGAGGGUGCAAGCGUUAAUCGGAAUUACUGGGCGUAAAGCGCACGCAGGCGGUCUGUCAAGUCGGAUGUGAAAUCCCCGGGCUCAACCUGGGAACUGCAUUCGAAACUGGCAGGCUUGAGUCUUGUAGAGGGGGGUAGAAUUCCAGGUGUAGCGGUGAAAUGCGUAGAGAUCUGGAGGAAUACCGGUGGCGAAGGCGGCCCCCUGGACAAAGACUGACGCUCAGGUGCGAAAGCGUGGGGAGCAAACAGGAUUAGAUACCCUGGUAGUCCACGCCGUAAACGAUGUCUACUUGGAGGUUGUGCCCUUGAGGCGUGGCUUCCGGAGCUAACGCGUUAAGUAGACCGCCUGGGGAGUACGGCCGCAAGGUUAAAACUCAAAUGAAUUGACGGGGGCCCGCACAAGCGGUGGAGCAUGUGGUUUAAUUCGAUGCAACGCGAAGAACCUUACCUGGUCUUGACAUCCACAGAAGAAUCCAGAGAUGGAUUUGUGCCUUCGGGAACUGUGAGACAGGUGCUGCAUGGCUGUCGUCAGCUCGUGUUGUGAAAUGUUGGGUUAAGUCCCGCAACGAGCGCAACCCUUAUCCUUUGUUGCCAGCGAUUAGGUCGGGAACUCAAAGGAGACUGCCAGUGAUAAACUGGAGGAAGGUGGGGAUGACGUCAAGUCAUCAUGGCCCUUACGACCAGGGCUACACACGUGCUACAAUGGCGCAUACAAAGAGAAGCGACCUCGCGAGAGCAAGCGGACCUCAUAAAGUGCGUCGUAGUCCGGAUUGGAGUCUGCAACUCGACUCCAUGAAGUCGGAAUCGCUAGUAAUCGUGGAUCAGAAUGCCACGGUGAAUACGUUCCCGGGCCUUGUACACACCGCCCGUCACACCAUGGGAGUGGGUUGCAAAAGAAGUAGGUAGCUUAACCUUCGGGAGGGCGCUUACCACUUUGUGAUUCAUGACUGGGGUGAAGUCGUAACAAGGUAACCGUAGGGGAACCUGCGGUUGGAUCACCUCCUUACCUGAAAGAA
This 1554-nucleotide ribosomal RNA is filed under the name Salmonella enterica subsp. enterica serovar Saintpaul. RNAcentral describes it as "bacterial SSU rRNA". It matches the Rfam family "Bacterial small subunit ribosomal RNA". Lineage: Bacteria; Pseudomonadati; Pseudomonadota; Gammaproteobacteria; Enterobacterales; Enterobacteriaceae. The record is from RNAcentral.